This 483-nucleotide long non-coding RNA is filed under the name Bos indicus x Bos taurus (hybrid cattle). Its description in RNAcentral is "lncRNA (ENSBIXG00005014125.1)". Lineage: Eukaryota; Metazoa; Chordata; Mammalia; Artiodactyla; Bovidae. The record is from RNAcentral.
GUAAGUAAAAAGGAUGGAACAAGAAGCCAAAAUUAUGCUAUGAAAUUUUGCUCCUUCCUAAAGGAUUGUUGCCAUUUCAAGGAGGAGAGAGAGGUCAAGUAAAGCUUUCUCAUUAACAGUUAAGAGCAGUGAUUAAAAUUUGCUUCUUGAAGAAUUAGUUGUGGUAGAAUAACAGAGAACAUACAUUCCAGAGGAGCCUACAAGACAUUUUGAGGGGACACUGUACUCCUCCUCUGUGUGACAUGCAGGAGAAUGGGUGAUUCCAGAUUAGAGAAUUCGGAGACUACAGGAUCACACAAAGAUAUUUAUCAAGUGCCUCUCACGUGAAAAUCACAGAGCUAAGAACUAAGGUUACAACAAAGAGCAAAAGACAAGGCCUCUGUUCUCCUGGAGGAAACAUAAUAAGUAUGGGGGAACUCUAUUUUAAUGUUCUAGAGAAUGGGAUACCUGCAUAUUUCCAAGAAAACUUUACUAAGGAAAGGC